This 4429-nucleotide long non-coding RNA is filed under the name Sus scrofa (pig). RNAcentral's name for it is "lncRNA (ENSSSCG00000053026.1)". The record is from RNAcentral. Lineage: Eukaryota; Metazoa; Chordata; Mammalia; Artiodactyla; Suidae.
GAAAGACCCCUUUUGCUUGAAGAUACAGCUCCUCACCCUGCCAUCCGAUAACCUUGCUUAUGAUGACAAAUUCGAGUCUAGGAAAACAUGAUCGCUCUUUGCCUUUUUUCCUCUGAGGAGAGAAAGUGCACUUUCUUCUUAAAUAUCUGAGAAAAGCAUAUGGAAGCCAGUCAUUGGGCCUAGCCUGGUGGGUGAUCCUCCAUCAUGAGUCAACUAAAGGAAAUGAACCGAACGACGAGCAUCCUGGAGAGACCGACCGAAUGUGUUGGUGAAGGAAGCCUAGUGAGAAACGGGACAGAGCUGGAUUCCUACGGCAGAGAAAGCGGGAGAUGCCCCACUUGUGGCAAACAGCUGUUCUGUUUCUGAUUAGCAAUGAUAAUUACGACAACCCGAAAAUAGAGGGAACAUGAGAACAUGGGACUGCCCAAGAACUGGAGUCUUGCAGCGGCUAAUUCUUGAAAGCAUGACCUCUCAUUCUCGAAAAUUCACGAGAAAAAGUUGAACACCAUUUUUUGAUUGUUGUUGGUCUAGGUACUCUGCAGACCAAAGUGUGUGAGAGGAUUUAUUUCGAAAAUGUAUGAACAUGCUGCGCUGAAUAACUUAUGACACUGUCGAGUAAACUAGAGUCCCUGUAACCCCAGAGGUAACCGCUCUUCUAGGUCUGAUGUGUUUUCUUCUCAUCUUUUUCUCGGCUCCCCAAUCCCACUGAUGGGUGGUGUGACUUCUUGACUAAGAGCACAAGUAUGAUUGUGGCAAGAGCACUGAUUUUUCAGGGAUGGCUGGUGGAAUUAGUCUCAUUACUUUAAAGUCAGAUCUUGUAGAGUUCAUUUUUGUAAUUCUCUUUAGAAUUUCCCCAGGCUUGCAAAACUUAAAAAGAAACCCACAACAGGGAAAUAAGUCCUGAGGCAGCACCCGGAGGGUGGGAUGCUACAAUCACUUAUUAAAUUGCCCUCCUAAACCCUGAGCGGAUUUAGGAAGAUGCAGUUUCAAAGGAUGUUACUGUGUAUUGAAAACCACUUUACUUAAAAGAAAAGUGAAGCUCGAAAAUCAGAUCUAGUGGGGCUCCUGGGGGGAACCAUUCUGCAGGUCUCCUCACCUCCCCCUUCUGACAGCCCUGCAGAGACAGGGAAGCGGGGCCAAACACCGAGCUAACCAAGUGCUCGACCCUCCACACUUGCUGGCCUCAAGUUCGCCACGCUCCUCUUUCACGGUGCUGCCUGGUCAACGAGUUAUUAUUAGGAUUUAUCCGCUGUCCCACGAUAGACUCAACUUCUUUGGGUGUUUAUAACUGUCAUAAAAAUUUAGCAGGGCAGGCGAGGUCUCAACCUGGCCGUAAAUUUUGCAGUAAUGCUUCCCUGUGUUGUCGGAAAGGUGUUUGUCCAUCUUCAAGGAGCCGGGAGGGUGGCAGAACAGAACAAGGAUCUCAUCCUGCAAGAAACGUGUAGACACCAGGAAGAAGAGGCUGCCUCGUUCUGCACAGGGUGUUCUAAGAGCCACGGGGCACGGGGAGGUGUGGCCGGACACACUCGAAUCCAGGGCGGCUUGGGCACGUCCCCACUCAUUCACUUUGGACAAGUUAUUUAACGUCUCUGUCCCUGAAAUGCCCUCUGUGCGCAGGGAGAGCAAUAGGAGUAUCCGCCCGCCUUACCGGGCUGGGGGUACAUUGAAUGAAUUACUGUAUGGUCAACUUUUAGAAGAGUGCCAGGCUGGAGUUCCCUAGUGGCUCUGUGGGUUAAGGAGCUGGCAUCGUCACUGCUGUGGCUCUAGGUACUGCUGUGGUGUGGGUUCAGUCCCUGGCCUGGGAGCUUCUGCAUGCUGCAGGCGUGGCCAAAAAGAGAAAGUGCCAAGCAUGUACAAGAACAAUGUGGUUGUCAUUUAAUAUUAUAUUAGAAAGCUGACUAAAUUCUCUAAAUUCGAUUUGUUUUUUUCUUUUUAGGGCACAUGGAAAUUCCCGGGUUAGGGGUCAAAUUGGAGCUGCGGCUGCCGGCCUACGCCCCAGCCACAACCACAGCAGGUCGCAGCUGUAUCUGAGAGCUACAGCACAGCCUGCAGCAGCACCAGAUCCUUAACCCCCUGAACGAGGCCUGGGGUGGAACCUGCACCCUCGUGAACACUAGCUGGGUUCUUACCCAGUGGAGCCCCAAUGGGAACUCUCUAGAUUCUCUAACUUCUUAUCGAGACAUCCUAACUGAGAACUAAGUUGUGUUUUCAGGUGCCUAGAGGUUAACAGAACCAUAAUCAAUGACCGUCAUCAUGUGACAUAUGUAGUCGGAGAGCGACUGAAAGGCGCAUCUCACUUUCGUAUUUUUGUCAUGGCUCCUACUCUGUGAGACGCCAUCACACUGACAGAAGCGGGGGAGGCACAGUUCAACCCUGUGGGGUAGAGGAUGGGUGUCGGGUGCAAGGCAGCCCCCCCAGCAAAGGUCGUGGUUUGAUCUUGGUUCAAGCAGUUGUCGGGGUCAGAUCUUCCUGAAGGGUCUUGUCCUCGUGGAUCAGGGGUGGCUCAUUCUAAAGAACAGCUGAAGUUUCUUUGAAGGAACUUUUCCCAAAGCUGAGAACCAGGUUAGUGGGGAGACGGGGCACUUUCGUGGCAGACCCUUGGGGGCUGAUGUUUGUGCGAAGCUGCCCUUUGAGCGCUGUGACCGUUGAGUGACAACCUCUUUCCAGAAGUCACUGUAAAUCCUUAGCGUGACGCAUAGGAAGAAAUGGGAUCAGAGCGCACUGCUUCUAUUUUCACAUUUGAAAAAUGCCUGCUUCUUUUCUCCCCUCUAAGCCAGUGGUGUGUGUGUCGUGUGCCUGUGUGUUGUGAGUGUGUGAAUUGUUUUUAGGUGACACAUUCAUCUUUGUAGUGAAAUUCCUGGGUGAGAGGAGAAAGAAUUUACCAACUAUGUGCUCUGUCCUAGGCCCGUAGUGGGGACAUUACUCAUUAUCUUUAAUCUUCACCGUCACGUUGCGAAGUAAAUAUUCUUAUUUCCACUUAAAGGAAGAGAAAGCCGAGGUUCAUAUAAGAUAAGCUUGCAGAGCCAACAAGAAAUGGAACCUAGGUUUGAGCAUAGACCUGACUCCAAGCGACAUGCUCUAGCUCGUCAUCAAGAACUCAUUUACGAGGUGUGCCUAUGAGUUCCCCAGCUGCUGGGUCAUAGGAACAGCCGUAGAGAAGAGCCAAGCAGGGUUGGUUUCUGGCUCUCCCUUCAUCCAUUGUCUUAUCAUCAUCCUUCCCAAUCACUCACUCUCACGUCCGUUUUUCUCAUUCUGUCCUGCACUCACCGAAUCCAAAUUCAGCGCUCCUUUGAAACCCGUUAGCCUAAUUCUUGCGCAUCAAGAUGAUGCUUGGUAUCAAGAGCUCACCUGAGAGGCUGGCUUAUACCAAGUCUCUUCAUCUCAGCUUCCAGGGAUGCAUUUCUGGCCCUUCCAUGCAGCUCCGCACUGUCCCACCCCCCCACCCCGCCCCGCUUCCCAGCACCACGAGGACACAGACCUUGCACUUGCCAGGGUGACGUGAAAAUGGACACGAAGCAGAGACAGAAAAUAGCUUUAAAGUUUUGUCCCCACAAACAAUGUCCACAGUAAUCAGGGUGGUACUACUUCCUCUUUGUUCUUCCCGAGCCAACGACAAGUUCUUAUCUGAAACGUUCUGAGACCGAAGGUUGAGAACUUCUUGUUCAGUUCGCUUUGAGCACUUUCCCCUCCUUCAUCUCCCCCACUGCUGGUGUCAUUUGUGUUCCUACGCAAUCCUAGUAGAUAACAGAUGUGUUUGCGUCUCUGGGGUUUGAAGGUUUUCUUUGAGCCCUCUCCUUCAGCCCCACCGCCUUGUACGUGUUGCAGUGAAAGCAGAGGUUAGAGCCAGGUGAGGGGCAAUUCAAGUUCCAAUUCUUGCUCUUUCAUUUAUUAACAAUGUAACAUUAGGCAGAUGGUGAAGCAUCACUGAGUCUCGAUUUCCUUAUCUGCAAAAUGGGAAGAAUAACAGAACCUAGUUCUCGGAGGUGUGAAGAUUCAAUGAGCCGAUGCCUAUAAAAUGCCUGCUAUAUUAGGUCAAUUAUAUCUCAAUAAAACUGGAGAAGAACACACUCCAUAUAGAAAGUGGAACAUAGUAAUCUAUCAUUGUUAUACCCAGCAAAACUUUUGAAAUUGUGAGAGCCAGCAGCAGCAGGCCUGUAGGCCUGUGAUUUGUAACAACUGAAGCAGAGCAUUGAGCUUCACAGGAAACGUAUAUGGUGAGAUUAGCAUUUGUAAUCUCGGGUGAUUCCUGGAAGAAAAUAUGAAAAUCACGUAGAUCCAGGUUGAUGGGUUAUUAUUCUUUAGUUAUAUUCUGAAAUAACGCUUGAAUACUUACUAUUUACUCGAUAUUAGUAAACAAGUGCAGGUUAGUAAACCUCACCCCCAGGAAAGUCAUUUGAAAAUGUGAUUCAUUUUACAUAAAUCUCCCUAU